UGUUGGUCUAUCUGGAUCGAUCACCAUUCUCAUGAUGAUAUUAUGAUCGAGAGUAUUUAGAAAUUAAUUAUACAUACCUCUAAUUCUCAAUAUCUUGAGAAUAUGUAUUGAAGUAUUAAUUUUAUGGAUGAUUCAAGGGCACAUCAAUCUUGACUGAAAAAUAAAAUUUAUCCAUUUAUUGAUCAAAUUAAUAUAUUAAGUAUAAAAUUAUAUC
RNAcentral lists this long non-coding RNA (214 nucleotides) under Elaeis guineensis (African oil palm). RNAcentral's name for it is "long non-coding RNA (EGUI_LNC068682)". The record is from RNAcentral. Lineage: Eukaryota; Viridiplantae; Streptophyta; Magnoliopsida; Arecales; Arecaceae.